Molecule: long non-coding RNA, 663 nt
Organism: Oncorhynchus tshawytscha (Chinook salmon)
Lineage: Eukaryota; Metazoa; Chordata; Actinopteri; Salmoniformes; Salmonidae
Source: Ensembl
CACAGUGCUGACUGGUUAAACCCAGUCACUACAACCUCUGGUCUCCAUAAGAGUUAACAAUACAGUGACCAGGUAGAUCUACAUACUGUAUCCACACUGAUAAAGAGAGAUUCCCCUACACCAGGGCUCUCCAAACCCUGUUUCUGGAGAUCUACUGUCCUGUAGGUUUUCACUCCAACCCUGUUUCUGGAGAUCUACUGUCCUGUAGGUUUUCACUCCAACCCUGUUCCUGGAGAUCUACUGUCCUGUAGGUUUUCACUCCAACCCUGUUCCUGGAGAUCUACUGUCCUGUAGGUUUUCUCCAACCAUAAUCUAGCACACCUGAUUAUAAUAAUUAGCUGGUUGAUAAACUGAAUCAGGUUAGUUACAACUGGGGUUGAAAGGAAAACCUACAGGAGGGUAGGUCUCCGGGAACCGGGUUGGACAGCCCUGCCCUACACAUUUGACAAGCUCAGUCUUCAAUGAAGCAGUCUUCAUGGUUUGGGUUGUUCUAGAGGCUGGGUUGUUCCCGAGUGGCGCAGCGGUCUAAGGCACAGCGUCUCCUUGCAAGAGACAUCACUACAGUCCCCGGUUUGUAUCCAGGCUGUAUUACAUCCGGCCGUGAUUGGGAGUCCCAUAGGGCGGCGCACAAUUGGCCCAGCGUCGUCCGGGGUAGGCACGUCA